RNAcentral lists this ribosomal RNA (506 nucleotides) under uncultured bacterium. RNAcentral's name for it is "partial 16S ribosomal RNA". It matches the Rfam family "Bacterial small subunit ribosomal RNA", at positions 29 to 523 of the family's 1533-position model. The record is from RNAcentral.
AGUGAACGCUGGCGGUAGGCCUAACACAUGCAAGUCGAACGGCAGCACAGAGGAGCUUGCUCCUUGGGUGGCGAGUGGCGGACGGGUGAGGAAUACAUCGGAAUCUACUCUGUCGUGGGGGAUAACGUAGGGAAACUUACGCUAAUACCGCAUACGACCUACGGGUGAAAGCAGGGGAUCUUCGGACCUUGCGCGAUUGAAUGAGCCGAUGUCGGAUUAGCUAGUUGGCGGGGUAAAGGCCCACCAAGGCGACGAUCCGUAGCUGGUCUGAGAGGAUGAUCAGCCACACUGGAACUGAGACACGGUCCAGACUCCUACGGGGGGCAGCAGUGGGGAAUAUUGGACAAUGGGCGCAAGCCUGAUCCAGCCAUACCGCGUGGGUGAAGAAGGCCUUCGGGUUGUAAAGCCCUUUUGUUGGGAAAGAAAUCCAUCUGGUUAAUACCCGGGUGGGAUGACGGUACCCAAAGAAUAAGUACCGGCUAACUUCGUGCCAGCCGCCGCGGUAA